Molecule: ribosomal RNA, 782 nt
Filed under: Ralstonia solanacearum
Lineage: Bacteria; Pseudomonadati; Pseudomonadota; Betaproteobacteria; Burkholderiales; Burkholderiaceae
Description: bacterial SSU rRNA
Rfam family: Bacterial small subunit ribosomal RNA
Source: RNAcentral
CUGUAGUGGGGGAUAACUAGUCGAAAGACUAGCUAAUACCGCAUACGACCUGAGGGUGAAAGUGGGGGACCGCAAGGCCUCAUGCUAUAGGAGCGGCCGAUGUCUGAUUAGCUAGUUGGUGGGGUAAAGGCCCACCAAGGCGACGAUCAGUAGCUGGUCUGAGAGGACGAUCAGCCACACUGGGACUGAGACACGGCCCAGACUCCUACGGGAGGCAGCAGUGGGGAAUUUUGGACAAUGGGGGCAACCCUGAUCCAGCAAUGCCGCGUGUGUGAAGAAGGCCUUCGGGUUGUAAAGCACUUUUGUCCGGAAAGAAAUCGCACUGGUUAAUACCUGGUGUGGAUGACGGUACCGGAAGAAUAAGGACCGGCUAACUACGUGCCAGCAGCCGCGGUAAUACGUAGGGUCCAAGCGUUAAUCGGAAUUACUGGGCGUAAAGCGUGCGCAGGCGGUUGUGCAAGACCGAUGUGAAAUCCCCGGGCUUAACCUGGGAAUUGCAUUGGUGACUGCACGGCUAGAGUGUGUCAGAGGGAGGUAGAAUUCCACGUGUAGCAGUGAAAUGCGUAGAGAUGUGGAGGAAUACCGAUGGCGAAGGCAGCCUCCUGGGAUAACACUGACGCUCAUGCACGAAAGCGUGGGGGAGCAAACAGGAUUAGAUACCCCUGGUAGUCCACGCCCUAAACGAUGUCAACUAGUUGUUGGGGAUUCAUUUCCUUAGUAACGUACUAACGCGUGAAGUUGACCGCCUGGGGAGUACGGUCGCAAGAUUAAAACUCAAAGGA